GCGCACUUGCAGCCUGUACACGGGCUCUGAAUGGCCUCCAGGGGAACGUUCCCUCAGCUGGCAGUCCUUGGGCACAUCAUCCUCUCUAUUCAGGCUGUCCAGGGAAUCUCCUCCGUGGAGCUCCUCUUCCUUAAGAACAGACUGUGCUGAGCCUUUGGAGUUGUUGCCUUCCAAACAUUCCCACCUCUUCCUACUUCCAGGCACCUCAAGAACACAGGAUUCUGGAUCUGAUAUUGAAAUAUCAGAUAGGGAUGAAAAUACUGCAUGGACCUCUCACAUGCAUGUUCUUGGCACAAGAACAUGUGGUUCUUCACCUUCUUCAAAGUGAAAUGGAGGAGGGCUAGGAGGACAACAGACUCUUGAGUUUCCAACACUCAUUUAAGUGUUUGUAGAAUGGAAACAAGGAACUUAUGCUUCUCCAGAUGAAUUAAUCUAAGAAGUGUUCUUUGCAAAUGUCAGAAAGCCUGAAGUAAGAAUGUUUCACAUUCCCCAGACGUCGUUCUCCCAACCCAGGUGCAAAGGUAACAUGACAGAUCUCAACCAGAGACUUGAUUCUUCUUGCUGCCCCUCAGGACAGAAAGCACAAGAAACCAGAGAAGCCUGAGGAUCACAUUCCCUUGUCUUCUCAGGUGCCUACUGCUCUCACAGUCUUCUUUCUUCUCCUAGAACAGAGCUAUUUGUGAAGGUGGGGGCAGCCUUCUCAAGAAUUUCUGCAGAUUAAAAUGGGGCCUGGGACUCUGCAGAUGUUCAAUAAAUCUUUGUUGAAAGAAUGAAUGAAUGCAUUUGGAAAGCAAAAGAAGAGAGAAAAAAUGUGUAAUCUAAAUGUCAAAUGCCUCAGCCACUUCAGGCUCAUCUGUGAAAUAGGGAUGAACGUAGUAAUGGCAGCUCACUCUCGGGUUGACCUGAGGAUUAGAGCGUAUGGUGGGUGUAGUGUCCUUAGCUAGCUCCCUGCUUCACUGUUAUUACAGUUGUUAUUCCUAUUCGCUUGAGCACUGUGAUCCAAGGGGGUGGGGAACACAAGGAGGUGUUUUGGAUUAGAUCAGGACUUUUGCCCAAGUCCUUCUUGUAUCAUCAUGAUAUGCGGUACCAUCUAGGCUGGGAUGUCUGUCUCAGUAUCCUUCAUAUUACAUUAAACCACAUCCUAACCCAUCCUCUGGGAUCGGCAAACUGUUUCAAACUCACUGUAAUGAGGGAACGGCAGGAGCUUUGUUGGCCAAAGGAUGUCUUUUUUGGUUCAGAGGGUUGGGCUUCUGAGAACGGGAGAAUAGUGCUCCCUGCUUUAGUAAUGAUAAAGCGCUCGGUAACAUCACAGAUGACUGAAUCACAGAUGUAAAUGGGCCCCAGGCAUGGAAGCGGGCUAAGGGUAGUCUGGGAAGAUUUUUUACAGUAGUCCCACAGUACUGGUGGAACAUGGGUUCCAAAACCCCUUGUAGAUACCAAAACCUGUGGAUGCUCGAAUUCCUUAUACAUAAUAUGGUAUAGUAUUUGCAUAUAGCCUAAGUACAUCUUUCCAUAUACUUUAAAUCAUCUCUACAUUACGUAUAAUACCAAAUAUAACGUAAAUGUUGUGCAAGUAGUUGUCAUACUAUAUUGCUUAGGGAACAAUACAAGAGAAAGGUCUGUAGAUGCAAUUUUUUUGAGUAGCUUCCAUCCAUCAUUGGCUGAAUCCCUGGAGGCAGAACCGACAGACAUGAGGCCAACUGUGCGGUGAGCAAAAAGCCAAAAAGAAGUGAGUCUGUGAUUCAGGUUUCCGAUGUGCUUAUCCACUGUUGAAAGACUUCGUGAGAACAAAAACACAUAUUGUUUGAAACCUGGUCAGUUCCAGUUCUGCCCCUGCCAAUCACUCUGGGAGGGGCUGACCCCUGCUUUGUGAACCCCAGUGAGGAGGAAGCUGGGAACAGCCUGGGGAAAUCAGGACAUCUUUCCCUAUGAAAAAUCUGCAAUUUAAAUGCAAAAUAUGUGUGGGGAAAGGGAAAUUUAUUACAAGACAUGAAGGCCUAAAGAAAUGGAGAAACAGUUUACCCACAUAGAGAAGUUUAUUUAACAUUCAAAAAAUGUCAGAUCCUUCAGAUCAUGCCUAAAUGCCAUCGGACAUUCUGUUGAUGCGUUCUGUGUUAAGAUUUAUUCUCUGUUCUAACAGUUCUAGUUAAAGGACCUUUGCUUUCUAUAAGCAAUAGAAGUCCUGAAGUCCUCUGCUAAGUAGGUGGCCGCAGGAGUGAUUAAAGGCAGUGCAGGGUCAAAUAAUUUAUUAUCAUUUUAUUAAAAACACAAAUGCUCAAAGGGAUUCUAUUAUUUUUCAGUAGCCAUAAAUGAUUUGGUUGCUAAGUGACGUGAGAGGCUAGUCAUCCACACCUCUAAUUACCUAUGUAGCCAAAUGCCCCUGUGAGUUAAACCCUAAAAUUAUCUAGUCACACUAGUGGAUAGGCACAGAUAAAAACCCUCGAGGAAAGCCGCAGGACAGUACUGACCUUCUCUAUUAGCAAGUCAUACAUCAAGUCCCUCAUAAAUGAGCAAGCAAGAACAGGGUCUUCAAACACCUUUCUAAUGGAACAGACUCUACCCAUCCCCUGUGACAUAACUAGUACCAUGAUAACUAAGCUCCAGCACCAUGAGUAUUUUGUAGUUCUUUCCUUACAAAUUCAAGGUGGUGCAUGGGACAGCAAUUCCCAGAAGAGACUUCUAGAAAGGUAGCCAUGUUCUUUCCAUUCUUAAGGUAGAGAAAAUCGGAGCAUGAAUAUAAGCAAUUUAUUUCUUUUCAGGUUAUGUUGUAUAAUAAGUUGCAGUUCGGGCAGCUCCUGCAUAGUCACUUUUUAUUGAGUAUAGUUAGUCACAGCAGAGUUUUAGAAAACGGAAUUGUCUUAUCGAUAAUCUGAAUUUUUAGAGUGCCUCUCAAAAAUAAUUUCUCCACUAUUCCUCUGUUGAUGCAAAUAGAACAUGUAUUCUAAAUUCCAUGACGAAAUCCAUUGUACUUUGUGAUAAACUUCUGGCUGUUAUUCACCCAAACCUAUUGCCAUCUGACAUUCUUAUUUUAUAGUCAUUAUAGUAAAUGGAUUAUACUCAUAUUGAAUUAUAAGACUCAGUGUAAGAAUAACAGACAUUUAAAACAAAAAGAUACAGCAAAGGUGGAAAGUAAGAGAGCAUUAAAAUAUAUACAGGAAAUAUAAACAACAAUCAAAAUGGCAAGAACACUCAUUAGAAUCUUAAACCUAUCAAAAGGAUAUUUGAGGCAAAACAUUUUAAAAGCAAAAAAUACAAUAUGUAAGUGUUACAACAGAAGAAAAAGGUAAAAUACAUGUGGAAGUUUAGCAAAGUUGCUGGGCAGAAGUUCAAUGUUUAAGUCACUAACAUUUCUCUAUACCUGUAGUGAUUAUCUGGAAGACAUAAUAGAUAAGAAGAUGUUGUAUACAGCAGUAAAAAAAAUGAUGAAGUGUUAGUAUUUAGCUUUUGAAAGACCCUGCAAGAUCUGUAAGGGGAAAGUUAAACUUUAUUAUAAGACAUAAAAGACUAAAUAAGUAGAGGAAUAGUUUGUCCACACAGUAAAGUUCACUUAACAUUCUAGAAGUCUCAGCUACCCCCCCCCACCAAAUCACACCUAAACUACCAUCUGACAUUCUUGUUGCCAUCCUACUGGAUGUCGGGUGUGAUGCUGGCCAUUGUUAAAAUAGGAUAUUACAUUUUAGUGACUGCUUGUCAUCAGACAGAAUCAUGUGGUAGAACAUUCUCACAGUUAUCCUAAUAUGAAAUUGUUAAUUAAAUAAGCUGUGAUGGAAUAUAUACAUGAGCUGCUAGGUUAAAUGCUUAUUUGGGAUUUGCUUAUGUCUAUAGGUCACUACCACCAAUUUGGAUAUAAUACAACAAAACGCUGGUGCUGACACAAAUAUUAACUCAAAAUGAUGAAAACAAUUUCAGCUGGGACCAGAAGAACAUCUGGAAGCCAUUAAAACUGGAGAAAUUUCCCUCUAAAUCUUUAUUGCCAAAGUUUGAACCAGCCACCCAGAAACUGUGGCCCUCAUGCUAACUCCGUGUUUAUGUUUCAUAAAAAUGGUUUCAAGGAUUUAUAUCUUGUUCUACAGGGCCUGGUUCCCAUGCUUAGAGCAUUUAAUCUUGCUGGGCACGCCCUGGGGCAUAGAGCCAGUUCUCCCUCUUGGGUUUUAAAAGCAGGGAUUCUUGGAGAAUAACACCAUGUACCAUUUCCAUAUUUACAAUAUGGAAUCACAAACUAUGGACCAUAAAAUCUUGAGAGAAAUGAGGAGAAGAAGAUUAGAACAGAGGCUAGGGCUGUAGCUCAAGGGAGAGCACCUGCUUAUCAGAUGUAAGGCCUUGGAUUCAAUCCUUAGAAGCACAAAAAAGAAAGAAGAAAGAAAAGAAAAGAAAAAAUUAGGACAUAGGACCCGAUAAUGAAAAUAUCAAAAUAAGAAUUGCUAUGCUAGGAUUUGCUCUUAAAUAGCUAAUAAAUCUACAGUAUGUCAUGAAAAUGACUAAUGGAAACUUACAUAAUUUCAGCUGUGUAUUACGUUCCCAUGCCUGCCAUAACAAAUCACCAUAAACUUAAUGGAUUAAAGGAACACAGUUAUUAACUUUUAGUUCCCUAAGUUAGAGUCCAACACAGGUCUCAAUAGGCUAAAAUCAAAUGUUUCCAGAGCUGCAUUCCCUCCUGCAGGUUCUAGGGAAGAAUUUGGUUCCUUGUCUUUUCCGCCUGCUAGAAACUGCCAACAGUCCUUGGCUUAUAGCCUCUUCCUCUGUCUUCAAAACCAACAAAUCCUCUUCAUCUGUGAUUACAUGUCCCUCUAACUACUGCAGGGAAAAUUGCUAUUGAAAGACCUAUGGGAUUUGUUUGGGAUCACCCUAUUAAUACAAGAUAAUCUCCCCAUCUCAAGAUCCUUAAUAAUAUCUGCAUAGUCCCUUAGAAAGCACUGAAUUUUGCCUUAGAAAAUAGGAUAGAAGUUUUUAACACAUAAAGCCUUAAAUACAGAAACAUUCCACAAAAACGCUCAAAUCCAGAAUGAACCUCUUGGCUGAAAGGUUUCUGGUUUCCAAAGUGAUUGUUUCAGUUGUACUGGUAAAUGUGGAACCUAUCCAGUAUCAUGAAUCCACCUGGACCCAUAUAUUUGUACCUGACAUGAAAUAAUGGCUCUUUGGAAACAGCAAAACGUCCGUGGAAAGCAUAAGCUGUCAUUUCCUGAACGCACGGAAGGGCGGACUUGGUUGGAAGAACCUGCGCUGCGCAGCCCUGACCUUGCACUCACUGUGGUGUGCGCAUGUGCAAGGGCGGAGGACGACGCGGCUGCGCAGCAGCCACCAGCUCCAGCCUCUUUCUCAGGACCGGAGUUCCCGCCUGGGCCUGGCAGGUCCCCAGCCGAAGCCAGGGCGCCCGCGAGGUGAUCACCUGCUGCUGCUGUCCAAACGCACGCAGUUCUGGCCGCUCCUCCACAAAGGACGUCUCUUCUACUCUGGGAAGCACAGAUGUGCUCGUGGAUUUUGUUUUUCAUAACCAGGAGCCGAGCUCAAGUUAGAGCCUGGAUCUCCGUUCAGAGUGGGCUCCCUAACGUCGGUGGGCGUCCAGAGGCGGCUGGGUCGUCGCUCUCUGUCUUUUGGGACGCGCUUCCUCCUUGCUUCCUGGAGCCCCGCCCUGUGUUCCCUCUUUAAGCCCGGGAUCAUUUCAGGAGUUGUGUACAGUACUGAGGUCUACUGUACGCGGCGCAAUACAUUUUUUUCCACAGGAAGACUUACUAAAGUCAAAGUCACAGCUUAUGGAGCAUCUGUAUACUCCAUAGCCUGGUAAGAGUCGUAGGGACAUUGCUGUAUUUAACUUUACAAACCCUGUAGGAUGGGUCCAUUCACCACCCCAUUUUCAGACGGUGGAAGCAACACUUAGCUGGCGCACCCAGCUCUUGGGCUGGGGGAAGGUGGGACUAGGUGAGUUGAAGGAGAACCCUACUUGGGCACUGACUGUACAAGGGAGCCCCCCCAAAGCAGUCACUAGGGUAAAGAAUAAGUUAAUGAAAUAGUUAUAAAAAUCCAAAUUAAUAAAAAUUCCCUAUUGUGCAAAACAUAUAGCUCUGACCUUGUAGUUGUUGGACACAGAUGUGCUCACCUACUCCCAGUCCCGUUGGAGACUAAGUGUGCCCUGGCUGGAUUUAUUUUUUUUGUCUUUUUGAG
Long non-coding RNA from Chinchilla lanigera (long-tailed chinchilla), 6159 nucleotides. RefSeq lists it as uncharacterized. The record is from RefSeq and is a predicted model, not a curated record. The transcript is spliced from 4 exons. Lineage: Eukaryota; Metazoa; Chordata; Mammalia; Rodentia; Chinchillidae.